This 209-nucleotide ribosomal RNA is filed under the name uncultured bacterium. RNAcentral's name for it is "partial 16S ribosomal RNA". It matches the Rfam family "Bacterial small subunit ribosomal RNA", at positions 568 to 774 of the family's 1533-position model. The record is from RNAcentral.
UGCGUAGGUGGUAUGGCAAGUCAGAAGUGAAAACCCAGGGCUUAACUCUGGGACUGCUUUUGAAACUGUCAGACUGGAGUGCAGGAGAGGUAAGCGGAAUUCCUAGUGUAGCGGUGAAAUGCGUAGAUAUUAGGAGGAACAUCAGUGGCGAAGGCGGGCUUCCUGGACUGAAACUGACACUGAGGCACGAAAGCGUGGGGGAGCAAACA